This 471-nucleotide ribosomal RNA is filed under the name uncultured soil bacterium. RNAcentral's name for it is "bacterial SSU rRNA". It matches the Rfam family "Bacterial small subunit ribosomal RNA", at positions 26 to 517 of the family's 1533-position model. The record is from RNAcentral.
AGGAUGAACGCUGGCGGCGUGCUUAACACAUGCAAGUCGAACGGUGAAGGAGAGCUUGCUCUCCGGAUCAGUGGCGAACGGGUGAGUAACACGUGAGCAAUCUGCCCCUGACUCUGGGAUAAGCGUUGGAAACGACGUCUAAUACCGGAUACGAGCUGCGAAGGCAUCUUCAGCAGCUGGAAAGAACUUCGGUCAGGGAUGAGCUCGCGGCCUAUCAGCUAGUUGGUGAGGUAAUGGCUCACCAAGGCGUCGACGGGUAGCCGGCCUGAGAGGGUGACCGGGCCACGACUGGGACUGAGACACGGCCCAGACUCCUACGGGAGGCAGCAGUGGGGAAUAUUGCACAAUGGGCGCAAGCCUGAUGCAGCAACGCCGCGUGAGGACGACGGCCUUCGGUGUAACCGUCUUUAGCAGGAGAAGCGAAAGUGAGUACCUGCAGAAAAGCACCGGCUAACUACGUGCCAGCAGCCG